RNAcentral lists this ribosomal RNA (694 nucleotides) under uncultured Bacteroidales bacterium. Its description in RNAcentral is "bacterial SSU rRNA". It matches the Rfam family "Bacterial small subunit ribosomal RNA", at positions 32 to 715 of the family's 1533-position model. The record is from RNAcentral. Lineage: Bacteria; Pseudomonadati; Bacteroidota; Bacteroidia; Bacteroidales.
AACGCUAGCUACAGGCUUAACACAUGCAAGUCGCGGGGCAGCAUGAAUUUAGCUUGCUAAAUUUGAUGGCGACCGGCGCACGGGUGAGUAACGCGUAUCCAACCUUCCCUUAUCCACGGGAUAGCCCGUCGAAAGGCGGAUUAAUACCGUAUGAGGUCAUUUGAUGGCAUCUGAUUAUGACGAAAGGUUUAGCGGAUAAGGAUGGGGAUGCGUCCGAUUAGCUUGUUGGCGGGGUAACGGCCCACCAAGGCGACGAUCGGUAGGGGUUCUGAGAGGAAGGUCCCCCACAUUGGAACUGAGACACGGUCCAAACUCCUACGGGAGGCAGCAGUGAGGAAUAUUGGUCAAUGGGCGAGAGCCUGAACCAGCCAAGUAGCGUGCAGGACGACGGCCCUAUGGGUUGUAAACUGCUUUUAUGCGGGGAUAAAGUGGGGGACGCGUCCCUUUUUGCAGGUACCGCAUGAAUAAGGACCGGCUAAUUCCGUGCCAGCAGCCGCGGUAAUACGGAAGGUCCGGGCGUUAUCCGGAUUUAUUGGGUUUAAAGGGAGCGUAGGCUGGAGAUUAAGCGUGUUGUGAAAUGCCGCGGCUCAACCGUGGCACUGCAGCGCGAACUGGUUUCCUUGAGUGCGCUGAAAGUGGGCGGAAUUUGUGGUGUAGCGGUGAAAUGCUUAGAUAUCACGAAGAACUCCGAUUG